CAGCAGUCGCCGCGGGAACACGGAGGGUGCAAGCGUUAAUCGGAAUUACUGGGCGUAAAGCGUGCGUAGGCGGUUCGUUAAGUCUGUUGUGAAAGCCCCGGGCUCAACCUGGGAAUGGCAAUGGAUACUGGCGAGCUAGAGUGUGUCAGAGGAUGGUGGAAUUCCCGGUGUAGCGGUGAAAUGCGUAGAGAUCGGGAGGAACAUCAGUGGCGAAAGCGGCUCACUGGACCAUUACUGACGCUGAGGCGCGAAAGCUAGGGGAGCAAACAGGAUUAGAUACCCGCGUAGUCCCUGUCUCUUAUAC
RNAcentral lists this ribosomal RNA (304 nucleotides) under uncultured bacterium. RNAcentral's name for it is "partial 16S ribosomal RNA". It matches the Rfam family "Bacterial small subunit ribosomal RNA", at positions 509 to 807 of the family's 1533-position model. The record is from RNAcentral.